GGGGGUAAAUUAAAAAUAGAGGUAAUAAUAAAAAAAUUUUUAAAUUAAUUAUAUUAAGUAUUUUAAUGGGGGUUAAAGUAUAUUGAUAGAAAAAAUUAAAAAUUUUAUAGUUAAUUAGUAUUGUAAAAGAAAUUUGAAAUAAUAAUGAAAAGUAAAUUAUUUAAAAGUAAUUUUAAUUUAAUGUAUCUUGUGUAUCAGAGUUUAUUAAAUAAUUUUUUUUUUAUAAAAAGUUCUCGAAUUUAAGAGAGAUAAUUAAUUAUUAAAGUUAUUGUAGCAUAAAUAUUUUAAAUAAUUAAUUUGAAAUGAGAUGUUAAUCGUUCUUAAAAAUAUCUAGUUUUUUUAGAAAAAAAUUUAAUUUUAAAUUUAUUUUAAUAUAUAUAUAUAUAUAUAUAUAUAUAUAUUAAGUAUUAAAUUAAUUAAUUAAUUUAAUACUUAAGUAAAUUUUAUAUUUUAAGGGAUAAGCUUUAAAAUAAAUUUAUAUAAUUAAUGAAAUUUAUUUGAUUUUGAAAAUUAUAUAAUUUAUAUUGUUAAUAAAUUAUAAUUUAUUAUAAAUAAUUUCAAAUUAAAAUAAAAUUUAAUUUUAAUUUAUAUUGUUUAUAAAAAAAUAAUUUUAAAUUAAAUAUAAUUAGUUAUAAUGAUAAAAUUAGUAUAUUUUAUAUUUAAUUUUUAAAAUAAAAUUAAGUUAUUUUAAAGGAAUUCGGCAAAAAUUUAUACUCACUUGUUUAUCAAAAACAUGUCUUUUUGAAAAUAAUAUAAAGUCUAAUCUGCCCACUGAUUAUAUUAAUUGAAGGGCUGCAGUAUAUUGACUGUACAAAGGUAGCAUAAUCAUUAGUCAUUUAAUUGAUGACUUGUAUGAAAGAUUGGAUGAAGUAUAUACUGUCUCUAAAAUAUAUAAAUAGAAUUUAAUUUUUAAAUUAAAAAGUUUAAAUAAAUUAAAAAGACGAGAAGACCCUAUAGAGUUUUAUUUAUAAUUUUAUUAUAGUUAUUUAUAAAUUUAAAAUUUUUAAUUUAAUUAUAUAUUUUAUUGGGGUGAUAAAAAAAUAAAAUUAACUUUUUUUAAAAAUAAACAUAAAUAAAUGAUUAAAUGAUCCAAUUUUAUUGAUUAUAAGAAAGAAUUACCUUAGGGAUAACAGCGUAAUUUAUUUUUUUAGUUCAUAUAAAAAAAUAAGUUUGCGACCUCGAUGUUGGAUUAAGAUAAAAAUUAAAUGCAAAAGUUUAAAUUUUUUGAUCUGUUCGAUCAUUAAAAUCUUACAUGAUCUGAGUUCAGACCGGUGUAAGCCAGGUUGGUUUCUAUCUUUUAAAAAAUGAAAUAUUUUAGUACGAAAGGAUCAAAUAUUUAAAUUAAAUUUAUUAUAUGAAUUUUAUUAAAUAUUUUAUAUAAAUGUAAUUAUAUAUGUAAUAUAUAUAUAUAUAUAUAUAUAUAU
This 1424-nucleotide ribosomal RNA is filed under the name Arctia plantaginis. RNAcentral's name for it is "16S ribosomal RNA". The record is from RNAcentral. Lineage: Eukaryota; Metazoa; Arthropoda; Insecta; Lepidoptera; Erebidae.